GCGGUGGAGCAUGUGGUUUAAUUCGAUGAUACGCGAGGAACCUUACCUGGGCUCAAAUGUAUGUUGACGUAUUCUGAAAGGGAUACUUCUUCGGACAAUAUACAAGGUGCUGCAUGGUUGUCGUCAGCUCGUGCCGUGAGGUGUCGGGGUUAAGUCCCAUAACGAGCGCAACCCCUAUCAUUAGUUGCCAUCAGGUCAAGCUGGGGACUCUAAUGAAACUGCCUACGCAAGUAGUGAGGAAGGUGGGGAUGACGUCAAAUCAGCACGGCCCUUACGUCCAGGGCUACACACGUGCUACAAUGGCCGAUACAGAGGGCAGCUACCUGGUGACAGGAUGCAAAUCUCCAAAGUCGGUCUCAGUUCGGAUCGGAGUCUGCAACCCGACUCCGUGAAGUUGGAUUCGCUAGUAAUCGCGCAUCAGCCAUGGCGCGGUGAAUACGUUCCCGGGCCUU
This 452-nucleotide ribosomal RNA is filed under the name uncultured Sphingobacteriales bacterium. RNAcentral's name for it is "bacterial SSU rRNA". It matches the Rfam family "Bacterial small subunit ribosomal RNA", at positions 929 to 1382 of the family's 1533-position model. The record is from RNAcentral. Lineage: Bacteria; Pseudomonadati; Bacteroidota; Sphingobacteriia; Sphingobacteriales.